CCUACGGGUGGCAGCAGUGGGGAAUAUUGGACAAUGGGGGCAACCCUGAUCCAGCCAUGCCGCGUGUGUGAAGAAGGCCCUCGGGUUGUAAAGCACUUUCAGUGAGGAAGAACGCCUGGUGGUUAAUACCCAUCAGGAAAGACAUCACUCACAGAAGAAGCACCGGCUAACUCCGUGCCAGCAGCCGCGGUAAUACGGAGGGUGCGAGCGUUAAUCGGAAUUACUGGGCGUAAAGCGCGCGUAGGUGGCUUGAUAAGCCGGUUGUGAAAGCCCCGGGCUCAACCUGGGAACGGCAUCCGGAACUGUCAAGCUAGAGUGCAGGAGAGGAAGGUAGAAUUCCCGGUGUAGCGGUGAAAUGCGUAGAGAUCGGGAGGAAUACCAGUGGCGAAGGAGGCCUUCUGGACUGACACUGACACUGAGGUGCGAAAGCGUGGGUAGCAAACAGGAUUAGAUACCCUUGUAGUC
RNAcentral lists this ribosomal RNA (465 nucleotides) under Vreelandella stevensii. RNAcentral's name for it is "partial 16S ribosomal RNA". It matches the Rfam family "Bacterial small subunit ribosomal RNA", at positions 338 to 795 of the family's 1533-position model. The record is from RNAcentral. Lineage: Bacteria; Pseudomonadati; Pseudomonadota; Gammaproteobacteria; Oceanospirillales; Halomonadaceae.